GGUGAUUCUUGGGUGGCAGACCCUGGAAUCGAGCUCCCUCCUCCCUGGUUCUGGGUGCAUCACCUGAGAACCGCA
This is a non-coding RNA of Myotis lucifugus (little brown bat), 75 nucleotides long. Lineage: Eukaryota; Metazoa; Chordata; Mammalia; Chiroptera; Vespertilionidae. The record is from Rfam.